CCUUCUUUUAGUUUCGGGUUUCAUUCUGACCAUGAUUGUCCAAAUUCAAGCAGAAUAUUUAGGUUUAUUGGCCUAUGGUUGGGGAACAGCCCUACAUCCCUUUUCUCAGCCCUCAGCCACCCCCCUCUCCUAAUUCCCAUGUCCUCCUCCCUGUCCUUAUCCUCUCCCCCAUCCUCUCCUACACAUCUUCGUCCUCGCCCUCCUCUCUCUGUGCUAGAUCAACCGUCCACCCCAACUCCUCUUCCUCCUCAGCCACUCCCUACCCUAGAUCUCCCAAGCGGCCUCUCUCAUCUCUCCCAAGCUUCUCCAUUGGUUUCUCGCCUCUCUCCAAAACUUAGGGAUGAGAACAGGGUGUGUGCUGAUCUUGGAACACUUUAAAGGAGAUUGUGGAAGCUGGCUACACCAUAUUGGUCAUCAGAGGACAAAGUCCAAGCUAGGCUAAGGCUUGUUGGUAGUUAUGCUCAUCCUGGUAGUUAGGAGUAUCAUUCCUCAAAAACAUUUACGAGAUGUAUAGUUUCAGCAUUUCUGGGCUGGAUCCUCUUCCAAUCAGUCCCAUAAGCUCUAGCAGUUCUAGGCUGAUCCUUCGAUACUCCCACAAUCUCAGCAACCUUGGAUAGGAAUUUGUUAUCAUCUGUGCAGCAGCUUGAGCCAAAGUAUGAGCUUCUUGAUGAUGAUGAAGAUGAGGAGGUUGUUGUGGAUGACUUAUAGAUUCAGGAUAAUUUAAUAAAUUUUAUUUCAAAUUUAUUUUAUUUUGUAUGAUGUAUAUUUUAUAUUUUUUAAUUACUUUCAUCUUUUUGUAUUUGUUUUGUAAAUGAUCAGAGGAGAGGGAAGACUAGAUGAGACCCACAUGAGCUAGGGAUGUGUGGCAGCUUCGUGAGGGUGAGAGGAUCGUUAUUACAUGCAAUAACUCGGGGUUGAUAGUUAGGAGGCCGAAAAGUUUUCCAGCAAGUUUUCUAGAAUCAAUAGCUCGAAAGAGGUAUAUAUGUCUAAUUAACUAUCUAUGAUGGAAUGAUAUAUUUUCUUCUUA
This is a non-coding RNA of Elaeis guineensis (African oil palm), 1027 nucleotides long. Lineage: Eukaryota; Viridiplantae; Streptophyta; Magnoliopsida; Arecales; Arecaceae. The record is from RefSeq and is a predicted model, not a curated record.